GACGAACGCUGGCGGCGUGCUUAACACAUGCAAGUCGAACGGUAAGGCCCUACGGGGUACACGAGUGGCGCACGGGAGAGUAACACGUGGGAAUCUACCUUUUGGUUCGGAAUAACGUCGGGAAACUGACGCUAAUACCGGAUAAGCCCUACGGGGGAAAGUUUUUCGCCAAAAGAUGAGCCCGCGCUAGAUUAGCUUGUUGGUGAGGUAAUGGCUCACCAAGGCUACGAUCUAUAGCUGGUCUGAGAGGAUGACCAGCCUCACUGGGACUGAGACACGGCCCAGACUCCUACGGGAGGCAGCAGUGGGGAAUAUUGGACAAUGGGGGAAACCCUGAUCCAGCCAUGCCGCGUGAAUGAUGAAGGCCUUCGGGUUGUAAAGUUCUUUUGGUAGGGACGAUGAUGACGGUACCUACAGAAUAAGCUCCGGCUAACUUCGUGCCAGCCGCCGCAGUAA
RNAcentral lists this ribosomal RNA (456 nucleotides) under uncultured bacterium. RNAcentral's name for it is "partial 16S ribosomal RNA". It matches the Rfam family "Bacterial small subunit ribosomal RNA", at positions 28 to 523 of the family's 1533-position model. The record is from RNAcentral.